GCCGCGGUAAAUUGACCGUGAAAAGGUAGCAUAAUCAUUAGUCUCUUAAUUGGAGGCUCGUAUGAACGGUUGGAUGAGGGACAAUCUGUCUUCUUUUUAAAUUCUGAAUUUAACUUUUAAGUGAAAAGGCUUAAAUCAAUUGGUGGGACGAUAAGACCCUAUAAAACUUUAUAUAGUUCUUAUUUAGUACAGGAAAAGUUUAAACUUACUUUAUUUUUUCUAUAUUUUGUUGGGGAGAUAUUUAUAUAAUUUGUAACUGUUAGUAAAAUGAAAUAAUUAUCAUUAGUUGUUUGAUCCUUUAAUAUAGAUUAUAAGAUUAAGUUACUUUAGGGAUAACAGCGUAAUUUUUUUUGAGAGUCCAUAUCGACAAAAUCAGUUGCGACCUCGAUGUUGAAUUAAAAUUUCAGGAAGGUGUAGUCUUUUUCCUAGUGGGUCUGUUCGACCUUUAAAAUU
RNAcentral lists this ribosomal RNA (453 nucleotides) under Gnathophylloides mineri. RNAcentral describes it as "partial large subunit ribosomal RNA". It matches the Rfam family "Bacterial large subunit ribosomal RNA", at positions 1930 to 2595 of the family's 2925-position model. The record is from RNAcentral. Lineage: Eukaryota; Metazoa; Arthropoda; Malacostraca; Decapoda; Palaemonidae.